This 521-nucleotide small RNA is filed under the name Pongo abelii (Sumatran orangutan). RNAcentral's name for it is "processed transcript". The record is from RNAcentral. Lineage: Eukaryota; Metazoa; Chordata; Mammalia; Primates; Hominidae.
GGCAGAGAUUGAACCAGAAGGACAGUCCGUCACACUAAAGGAGCAGGCUAAAACCCAUGAUGGCGACAGCUCGCUCGCCGUGGGCAAUGCCGUGCCACCGCCCCUGGCCAAAGCCAUUGGCUUGGAGAUCAAGCUCUGUAUGUUGGCCAAAGCCCGAGAGAGUGCCUCAGCUAAAAUAAAGGAGGAGGAAGCUGCUAAGGACUAGUUCUGCCCUCCCGUCACCCCUGUUUCUGGCACCAGGAAUCCCCAACAUGCACUGAUGUUGUGUUUUUAACAUGUCAAUCUGUCCGUUCACAUGUGUGGUACAUGGUGUUUGUGGCCUUGGCUGACAUGAAGCUGUUGUGUGAGGUUCGCUUAUCAACUAAUGAUUUAGUGAUCAAAUUGUGCAGUACUUUGUGCAUUCUGGAUUUUAAAAGUUUUUUAUUAUGCAUUAUAUCAAAUCUACCACUGUAUGAGUGGAAAUUAAGACUUUAUGUAGUUUUUAUAUGUUGUAAUAUUUCUUCAAAUAAAUCUCUCCUAUA